CCCUUAGAUGUUCUGGGCCGCACGCGCGCUACACUGAUGCAUUCAACGAGCCUAUCCUUGACCGACAGGUCCGGGUAAUCUUUGAAUCUGCAUCGUGACGGGGAUAGAUUAUUGCAAUUAUUAAUCUUCAACGAGGAAUGCCUAGUAGGCGUAAGUCAUCAGCUUGCGUCGAUUACGUCCCUGCCCUUUGUACACACCGCCCGUCGCUCCUACCGAUUGGGUGUGCUGGUGAAAUGUUCGGAUCGGCCGUUUGUCGCGGUUUCCGCGGCUCGUGGCUGAGAAGUUCAUUAAACCCUCCCACCUAGAGGAAGGAGAAGUCGUAACA
RNAcentral lists this ribosomal RNA (325 nucleotides) under uncultured eukaryote. Its description in RNAcentral is "partial 18S ribosomal RNA". It matches the Rfam family "Eukaryotic small subunit ribosomal RNA", at positions 1470 to 1796 of the family's 1831-position model. The record is from RNAcentral.